Gossypium raimondii (Peruvian cotton) is the source of this 512-nucleotide long non-coding RNA. RefSeq lists it as uncharacterized. The transcript has 3 exons. Lineage: Eukaryota; Viridiplantae; Streptophyta; Magnoliopsida; Malvales; Malvaceae. The record is from RefSeq and is a predicted model, not a curated record.
UUCAUUUCUUUAUCUCCACCGUUUGGAAAAUAAAAGGGAGAAGGGAUUUUUAUUUUUUCUUCCUUAAUUGUUCUGCUGGAAGCCGAUUGGAAGAAUGUUUGGUGCCGCAUGCAUAGAGGGUAAAAUCUUAGUUUGAGCUAGUUAGAAUCAAUCUCUCAAGUCACUCGCUAAAGGAGUAGGAGGGGGUUGUAGCACGAAGAAGCAGGAGAACGAUAGAAGCUAGGAGCAGUUCUGAAAAUUUCUGAUUAGGUUCAAUCAUGUGCACUCAUUGUUAUUCGCAUCCAGUAGAAAAUCCCGCACACAUCGAGUUUGUGAAACUUUUGUUAUUUUGGUUGGCAUGUACCUAUAAGAUUUUAUGUUAUAUUAAGUUUAGUUGGAGAAUUAUUUCAUACUUCAAGAUGUUAUAUAAAUAGGCAUAUAUGAUAGUUGAUAAUGGUUUGUACUAUGUAUAUGCCUGGUGUUGAUAUUGCUAUUCGAGUAUUUAGAUGAGGUUAUAAUUCUUUGGAUGUAAA